GAUAAACGCUGGCGGCGUGCAUAACACAUGCAAGUCGAACGAAGUGGCGAACGGGUGAGUAACACGUGAGUAACCUGCCUUACACAAGGGGAUAGCCUUUGGAAACGAAGAAUAAUACCCUAUAGUGUAAGAUGGACUUUCGUCUGAUUAGCUAGUUGGUGAGAUAAAAGCCCACCAAGGGGACGAUCAGUAGCAGGCUUGAGAGAGUGUCCGGCCACAUUGGUACUGAGACACGGCCCAAACUCCUACGGGAGGCAGCAGUGGGGAAUUUUGCACAAUGGGGGAAACCCUGAUGCAGCGACGCCGCGUGUAUGAAGAAGGCCCUAGGGUUGUAAAGUACUUUCAGUCGGGAGACGUUACCGACAGAAGAAGCACCGGCUAACUCCGUGCCAGCAGCCGCGUAAUAC
RNAcentral lists this ribosomal RNA (407 nucleotides) under uncultured bacterium. Its description in RNAcentral is "partial 16S ribosomal RNA". It matches the Rfam family "Bacterial small subunit ribosomal RNA", at positions 28 to 526 of the family's 1533-position model. The record is from RNAcentral.